Molecule: ribosomal RNA, 2903 nt
Filed under: Enterobacter cloacae complex sp. P17RS
Lineage: Bacteria; Pseudomonadati; Pseudomonadota; Gammaproteobacteria; Enterobacterales; Enterobacteriaceae
Description: 23S ribosomal RNA
Rfam family: Bacterial large subunit ribosomal RNA
Source: RNAcentral
GGUUAAGCGACUAAGCGUACACGGUGGAUGCCCUGGCAGUCAGAGGCGAUGAAGGACGUGCUAAUCUGCGAAAAGCGACGGCGAGGUGAUAUGAACCUUUGACCCGUCGAUGUCCGAAUGGGGAAACCCAGUGCAAUCCGUUGCACUAUCGUUAACUGAAUACAUAGGUUAACGAGGCGAACCGGGGGAACUGAAACAUCUAAGUACCCCGAGGAAAAGAAAUCAACCGAGAUUCCCCCAGUAGCGGCGAGCGAACGGGGAGCAGCCCGGAGUCUGAAUCAGCUUGUGUGUUAGUGGAAGCGUCUGGAAAGUCGCACGGUACAGGGUGACAGUCCCGUACACGAAAAUGCACAGGUUGUGAACUCGAAGAGUAGGGCGGGACACGUGGUAUCCUGUCUGAAUAUGGGGGGACCAUCCUCCAAGGCUAAAUACUCCUGACUGACCGAUAGUGAACCAGUACCGUGAGGGAAAGGCGAAAAGAACCCCGGCGAGGGGAGUGAAAAAGAACCUGAAACCGUGUACGUACAAGCAGUGGGAGCACCUUCGGGUGUGACUGCGUACCUUUUGUAUAAUGGGUCAGCGACUUAUAUUCUGUAGCAAGGUUAACCGUAUAGGGGAGCCGCAGGGAAACCGAGUCUUAACUGGGCGUUAAGUUGCAGGGUAUAGACCCGAAACCCGGUGAUCUAGCCAUGGGCAGGUUGAAGGUUGGGUAACACUAACUGGAGGACCGAACCGACUAAUGUUGAAAAAUUAGCGGAUGACCUGUGGCUGGGGGUGAAAGGCCAAUCAAACCGGGAGAUAGCUGGUUCUCCCCGAAAGCUAUUUAGGUAGCGCCUCGUGAACUCAUCUUCGGGGGUAGAGCACUGUUUCGGCUAGGGGGCCAUCCCGGCUUACCAACCCGAUGCAAACUACGAAUACCGAAGAAUGUUAUCACGGGAGACACACGGCGGGUGCUAACGUCCGUCGUGAAGAGGGAAACAACCCAGACCGCCAGCUAAGGUCCCAAAGUCAUGGUUAAGUGGGAAACGAUGUGGGAAGGCACAGACAGCCAGGAUGUUGGCUUAGAAGCAGCCAUCAUUUAAAGAAAGCGUAAUAGCUCACUGGUCGAGUCGGCCUGCGCGGAAGAUGUAACGGGGCUAAACCAUGCACCGAAGCUGCGGCAGCGACACUAUGUGUUGUUGGGUAGGGGAGCGUUCUGUAAGCCGUUGAAGGUGUGCUGUGAGGCAUGCUGGAGGUAUCAGAAGUGCGAAUGCUGACAUAAGUAACGAUAAAGCGGGUGAAAAGCCCGCUCGCCGGAAGACCAAGGGUUCCUGUCCAACGUUAAUCGGGGCAGGGUGAGUCGACCCCUAAGGCGAGGCCGAAAGGCGUAGUCGAUGGGAAACAGGUUAAUAUUCCUGUACUUGGUGUUACUGCGAAGGGGGGACGGAGAAGGCUAUGUCAGCCGGGCGACGGUUGUCCCGGUUUAAGCGUGUAGGUGUGUGUUCCAGGCAAAUCCGGUUCACUUUAACACUGAGGCGUGAUGACGAGGCACUACGGUGCUGAAGUGAUAAAUGCCCUGCUUCCAGGAAAAGCCUCUAAGCAUCAGGUAACACGAAAUCGUACCCCAAACCGACACAGGUGGUCAGGUAGAGAAUACCAAGGCGCUUGAGAGAACUCGGGUGAAGGAACUAGGCAAAAUGGUGCCGUAACUUCGGGAGAAGGCACGCUGAUAUGUAGGUGAAGUCCCUGCGGACGGAGCUGAAAUCAGUCGAAGAUACCAGCUGGCUGCAACUGUUUAUUAAAAACACAGCACUGUGCAAACACGAAAGUGGACGUAUACGGUGUGACGCCUGCCCGGUGCCGGAAGGUUAAUUGAUGGGGUUAGCGGCAACGCGAAGCUCUUGAUCGAAGCCCCGGUAAACGGCGGCCGUAACUAUAACGGUCCUAAGGUAGCGAAAUUCCUUGUCGGGUAAGUUCCGACCUGCACGAAUGGCGUAAUGAUGGCCAGGCUGUCUCCACCCGAGACUCAGUGAAAUUGAACUCGCUGUGAAGAUGCAGUGUACCCGCGGCAAGACGGAAAGACCCCGUGAACCUUUACUAUAGCUUGACACUGAACACUGGUCCUUGAUGUGUAGGAUAGGUGGGAGGCUUUGAAGCGUGGACGCCAGUCUGCGUGGAGCCGUCCUUGAAAUACCACCCUUUAAUGGCUGGUGUUCUAACGUGGACCCGUAAUCCGGGUUGCGGACAGUGUCUGGUGGGUAGUUUGACUGGGGCGGUCUCCUCCCAAAGAGUAACGGAGGAGCACGAAGGUUAGCUAAUCCUGGUCGGACAUCAGGAGGUUAGUGCAAUGGCAUAAGCUAGCUUGACUGCGAGAGUGACGGCUCGAGCAGGUGCGAAAGCAGGUCAUAGUGAUCCGGUGGUUCUGAAUGGAAGGGCCAUCGCUCAACGGAUAAAAGGUACUCCGGGGAUAACAGGCUGAUACCGCCCAAGAGUUCAUAUCGACGGCGGUGUUUGGCACCUCGAUGUCGGCUCAUCACAUCCUGGGGCUGAAGUAGGUCCCAAGGGUAUGGCUGUUCGCCAUUUAAAGUGGUACGCGAGCUGGGUUUAGAACGUCGUGAGACAGUUCGGUCCCUAUCUGCCGUGGGCGCUGGAGAAUUGAGGGGGGCUGCUCCUAGUACGAGAGGACCGGAGUGGACGCAUCACUGGUGUUCGGGUUGUCAUGCCAAUGGCACUGCCCGGUAGCUAAAUGCGGAAGAGAUAAGUGCUGAAAGCAUCUAAGCACGAAACUUGCCCCGAGAUGAGUUCUCCCUGAGACUUUAAGUCUCCUGAAGGAACGUUGAAGACGACGACGUUGAUAGGCCGGGUGUGUAAGCGCAGCGAUGCGUUGAGCUAACCGGUACUAAUGAACCGUGAGGCUUAACCUU